This 1269-nucleotide ribosomal RNA is filed under the name Lepisma saccharinum. RNAcentral's name for it is "Lepisma saccharina 16S ribosomal RNA". The stretch from base 531 to 1269 matches the Rfam family "Archaeal large subunit ribosomal RNA", at positions 1423 to 2808 of the family's 2987-position model. Lineage: Eukaryota; Metazoa; Arthropoda; Insecta; Zygentoma; Lepismatidae. The record is from RNAcentral.
AGUAAUGUAAGUAAAGUAAUAUUAAAGUUAAAUGGUUUAGUAAGGUAUACUAAUGAAAUUAUUGUUAUUAUAGUUAUAAGUACCGUGAGGGAAUUAUUAAAUAAUAUGAAAUGAGGUUCUUUAUAUAGAAAGUUUAAAGACUGUACCUUUUGUAUCAGGGAACAAUCUAAAUAAGAUAAUAAAUAUUAUUUUCCCGAAUUAAAAAGAGUUAAUGUAGUAUGAAGUUACCUGUGGUAUAAGGUUUUUGAAUAUUAUUUUAGUAGUUAAAUGCUAGUCGGUUUUUAUGAUAUCUGGUUGUGUAGGAAGUAUAUUUAAUAUAGUAGUCAUUGUUAAUUGAUGUUAAUUUUUUAAGGUCAAUUGUUAUGGUUAGUUAGGGUUUGGGGGAUUUGCUCUUAGCUCAGGGAUGUCCUAUAACUUUUAGUGAUUUGUUUAUUGUUGUUGGCUUAGAAAUAGCAAUCAUUUAUAAUUUUGUUAUAAUUUAUUUAAGUAAUUAUUGAUAAUAUUUAAAUAAAGUUUAGGUUAAAUUACUACACUAUUAUUAUUAAUCUUUAGGGUUUUUAAUUAUGAUGUUAUUAGUAUGUGGGAGAGGCUUUAAAUAAGGAACUCGGCAAAAGUAUUUCUCGCCUGUUUAUCAAAAACAUGUCCUUUUGUUAAAAUGGAAGGUCUGGCCUGCCCACUGAAUGUUUUAAAUGGCCGCGGUAUUUUGACCGUGCAAAGGUAGCAUAAUCAUUAGCCUUUUAAAUGUAGGCUUGUAUGAAAGGUUGGACGAAGGAAUGACUGUCUCUUUAUAGUAUAAAGGAAUUUUACUUUUAAGUGAAAAGGCUUAAAUGUUGAGGGAGGACGAUAAGACCCUAUAGAUCUUUAUAUUAGUAUUUUUCUGUAAAGAUUAGUUAUGUACUUUGCAGUAAUUUAUUUUUAUUUUGUUGGGGCGACAGAGGAAAAUUUAUAAACUUCUUUUUGGUUUAUACACUUAUAUGUGUUGUUGAUUGAUCCAUUAGUUGUGAUUAUAAGAUUAAGUUACCUUAGGGAUAACAGCGUAAUCUCUUUUGAGAGUUCUUAUCGACAGAGGGGGUUGCGACCUCGAUGUUGGAUUAAGAUUUACUUAGGCGGAGGGGCUUAAGGGAAAGGUCUGUUCGACCUUUAAAUUCUUACAUGAUCUGAGUUCAGAUCGGCGUGAGCCAGAUCGGUUUCUAUCCUUCUUUUUUUGGUAUACCUUAGUACGAAAGGACUUGGUAUUUGUAAUAUUUAUUUAUUUUUGAUUAAAAAUAA